RNAcentral lists this ribosomal RNA (1962 nucleotides) under Triticum aestivum (bread wheat). RNAcentral describes it as "partial small subunit ribosomal RNA". The record is from RNAcentral. Lineage: Eukaryota; Viridiplantae; Streptophyta; Magnoliopsida; Poales; Poaceae.
AUGACCAUGCAUGAGUUGGUAACUGCUUCAUUUCUGGUACUCAGGCUGUGUUCGCACCUCCAAUUGGCAUACAACUUGAAAGAGAAAAGGUACAACAUGGCGCAUGUAGCCGGUUUGCUCGCCUCGGCUGUGGUCUCAGCGGUGGGCAAUAAGCUGGGUUCUGCCAUUGGGGAUGAGGUCAUGAUGCUGUGCAGCUUCAAGGACGACCUCAAGGACAUGAAGGACACGUUAGAGUACAUGGAGGCGGCGCUCAAGGAUGCUGAGAGGCGGUCUGUCACGGAGGAGUUGGUGCGGCUGUGGCUCAACCGGCUCAAGCACGCUGCCUACGACAUCUCUUACAUGCUCGACGAGUUCCAAGCUAAUAGUGAACCAGCCUCCAGAAAGAUGAUUGGGAAGCUGGACUGUUUUGCUAUUGCACUCAAGAUUACCAUGGCUUAUAAGAUGAAGAAGAUGAGAGGUCAGCUGAGGAAGAUCAAAGAUGAUCACGAGAGUUUCAAAUUCACACAUGAUAACUCCAGCCUAAUUAGUGUGCACCAGUUUCCUGAUCGACGGGAAACAACAUCAGAUGUGAUUGAAUCACUCAUCAUAGGGAGAGACAAAGACAGGAUGAAUGUUCUUUCUUUGUUAGCCACAAGCAGCAACAAAGAAGAUACUACAAUUCUUCCUAUCUGUGGGCUUGGAGGCAUAGGAAAGACAACUUUGGCACAACUGGUCUUCAAUGAUGGUCAGUUCAAAGAUUAUAAUCAUCGGGUAUGGGUCUAUGUAUCCCAGGUGUUUGACUUGAAAAAAAUUGGGAACUCCAUAAUUUCUCAAGUAGAAAAAGGAAGCCAAAAUCUAGAUACAAGGCAGUUGAUAAACCAACAUCUUAAACAUCUACUUCAAGAUAAGAAGACUCUAAUUGUUUUGGAUGACCUAUGGGAGACAGAUAACUUCCAACUGGAUCAACUCAAGCUUAUGUUGAAUGUAAGCUCCAAGAUGAGAGUUUUAGUCACAACACGCAGCAUAGACAUUGCAAGAAAAAUCUGUACUGUUGAAGCAUAUAUGCUAGAUCCCUUGGACAAUGAUAUGUGUUGGAGAAUAAUCAAGCAAAACAGUGGCUUUGAAUCUAGAGCUGAUAAAGAGAAAGUUGAACCAGUUGGACAGAUGAUUGCAAGGAAAUGUGGAGGUUUGCCAUUGGCAGCUCAAGCACUUGGAUUCUUGCUAUCUGGAAUGGAUCUUACUGACUGGGAAGCAAUGUGUAAUACUGAUAUUUGGGAUGAACCAUUUUCCGACAGUACAGUGUUACCAUCCUUGAAGUUAAGUUACAAUACUUUGACACCAUAUUUGAGGUUAUGCUUUGCCUAUUGUGGCAUCUUUCGUAAAGGUCACAGUAUAAGUAAAGAUGAUCUUAUCCAGCAAUGGAUUGCUCUGGGUUUCAUUGAGCCAUCUAAUAACUUUUCGGCCAUACAACUUGGCGAGAAGUAUGUUAGGCAAUUCCUUGGGAUGUCUUUCCUUCAGCAUACACAAUUGCCCGAGAUAUUUGCAAAAACAAUCUUGACCAUGCACGAUCUGGUGCAUGAUCUCGCAAGAUCAGUCAUUGCUGAAGAGUUGGUUGUCUUUGAUGCUGAAAUAGGGAGCGAUGCUAGAAGAAAAGAAUACUGCCACUAUGUGUCUCUUACAAACUGUAAUAUUUCAGAUUACAUCAAGGCAAGGAAAAUGUCAACUAUUUUCCCACCUAAGUUAAGGGCGAUACAUUUUACAGACUGUGAAUUUCAUGGUGGUGCAUUUUCAUUUCCAAAGUGCUUGCGUGUCUUGGAUCUAUCUGGAUGCCCCAUCACAGAGUUUCCAAGCGCUCUAGGACAACUGAAGCAACUGGAGGUUCUUAUUGCUCCGAGGCUGCAAGAUCGGGAACUACAGAAGCACACGCUCGCCGUGAUCAAUCAGCUGAAACGAUGGGAGUAUGCCUUCUCCAUGAAAGCAUAA